RNAcentral lists this long non-coding RNA (454 nucleotides) under Ananas comosus (pineapple). RNAcentral's name for it is "long non-coding RNA (ACOM_LNC026196)". Lineage: Eukaryota; Viridiplantae; Streptophyta; Magnoliopsida; Poales; Bromeliaceae. The record is from RNAcentral.
GGGGUUAAAAGGGGAAAGGAGGGAUGCGUACCUGAUGCGACGGAUCUCCUCUAAGAACUGGAGAUCGUAGACCUUGUCAGCGACGGCGAAGUGGACGACGCCGGCGAUGUGGUGGCGCUCGAUUGAGGUGGUCGACGGCGACGUUGCGCCGGUGCACACAGGGCCGAGAAGAUCAGGGCGAAUGCGAGGGCGAUUUGGGACUGGGAUCGGAGCUUGGAGAAGACGCGGAGGAAGAGGGAGGAGGGGAUGAGUAGAGGUGAAGGAGAGAGUGAGAGCUCGAGCUCACGCUGAGGGGGAGAGCUCGAGCUCGGAGAGGAGGGGGUGAGGGAGAGAAAGGGUCGAUCGACGCAAGGGAGAGGUGCGGGAGGAGUGGGAUUGGGUUGGGUUCGAGUAGGGUAAGGGUAAGGGUUAGGGUUAGGCUUGUAUUAGAGCUAUAAUAUUAGUAGUUUUAAGA